This 219-nucleotide unclassified non-coding RNA is filed under the name uncultured Crepidotus. Its description in RNAcentral is "sequence contains ITS2". The record is from RNAcentral. Lineage: Eukaryota; Fungi; Basidiomycota; Agaricomycetes; Agaricales; Crepidotaceae.
AAUUCUCAACCUUACUAGCUUUGUUGCUAGUCUGGCUUGGAUGUGGGGGUUUUUGCAGGCUUUCACAAGUCAGCUCCCCUGAAAUGCAUUAGCGGUACCCUUGUGGUAAACGGCUAUUGGUGUGAUAAUUAUCUACGCCAUUCGGUCGCCCACAUCUUAUAAGGGUUAUGCUGCUUCUAAUCGUCCAUUUACUUGGACUAUUUGGAAAUACAAUGACGA